This is a long non-coding RNA of Dromaius novaehollandiae (emu), 1957 nucleotides long. NCBI's taxonomy places the organism in Eukaryota, Metazoa, Chordata, Aves, Casuariiformes, Dromaiidae. The record is from Ensembl.
GCGCCCGGCUCAGAGCAAAUAACAACGCGGCUCGUUAGCAUUAGCAAUUUUUUAUUUUCCUUUUUUGUUGCAUAGGAAAUGCAGUACUUGCUUCCAGUAAUUGUAUUGUAAUGUGAGAAGGUGGUAGCACUAAUGGUUGAAUACAAGAGUUAAACUAAUCCACACCAGCUCAAAAAACCUGCGGAGACUUAGUUGGAUAAGGAUGGAUGCCCACAGUGAUUCGCAACCAAUUACAAUUUUUUUUCACAGAACACAGUAAAACUAAAAUGGUAACUAUGAGAGUCAAUACAAGUAUACUAGAGGCACGAGGGGCCUGACUCAUAAAAAGAAAAGGAAAACGAACGCAACGUGGUAUUAACACGGGGGUGGCGGCAGGCCGUUCCCGCGGGCGGGUUCGGGCGGACGCGGGGGCUCGGCGGGACGAGGCCGGGGCGCGGGGCAGGCGACCGUCUCCCCACCGCGCUCCUCCUAGAGAUUCGCCCGGGUUUUUUUUUUGUUUUUCUCGUAUUAAUUUGCAGAUGGGGAUAAAAGGCGGCGGGGGAUUUCACAAAACGCGAUUGCUUUUGUUCCUGCUGGAGCAUAAAAGAGUAACUAAGUGGAAAACAGUCCUCUCCUAAAAAAAAACGCGUGCAAAGUACAAAAGUCCACGGCGUAGACAAGUGCUCUCCUCUAGGAAGGCUUUUCCCUAGCGCUUGGAGGUAGCAAUCGAGCGUGUUUCUUUUUUUCCCGGUGGGGACAAAAGCCGCUUCCGAUGGGAAGGGCCCAAAAGUUUGUACAGAGUUUGUCUGAAGAAAAAAUAUUGCAACUGUGCAUGAAACUAAACAACCACAUGAGGUUUUUUUUUUUUCUUUUUUUCUUUUUUUUUUUUUUUUUGAAAGGGUUUUUCUUUUCUAUGAGGAAGUCUGGUGUGAAGAAGGGUCAAGCAUGGGUACCUGGUUAUCCGCUGCCCAUUAAGAAACCUCUCGCAACGUGAGCUCAGUGUCUCAUUUGUGGGUUUAGAGAAGCGUCCCUUAAAUUUGAACUUUUAGGCUUGUGUUCUUCAGAGCAAGCGCUUUGAAAUCUUAGGGUAGCUUUUCGAGACGAAAAUCUUACCAGGCACGGCUUUCUGGUCUCAAACACCAUGUCCUGCCCUCUAGGGAANAAAAAAAAAAGAAAAGGAAAAAAAAAGAAAAAAAAGAAAAAAAACCCAAAACACAAGUAAUACUGAAUUUAAGUAAAUGUAUACCUCCAAAAUACUGAAAACACCCCAAAUCAAGAAAAGACAGAAUUUGCGUUCUCAGUGAAAUAUCUUUAAACCUAUCUGACAAGAACCAAGUCAGAAAAAAAGACUAACAUAACUUUGAGUAAUAUUCAUACAGCUACUAAGCAUUAUGGAAUAGCAUGCAUUAAUAUUGUACGGUUAUUUUACAUCACCUAUAUCAGAAGGUUCUGACAGACAGCGAAGGCUACCGGUGUAGAAAAAUCUUACUUCAGAAGAGCAAUAUAAUACAGAUUUCACAGGCACUACAUUUUAAUAUAUCAGGUAUUAUGCUGGUUUUCUUAUAACUCUUUCUGUCCUAAAGCUGGCAUUAUAACAAUGACCAAAAAGGCAAGGAUCGAAGUAAACGGAAAGUAGAUACCAAAGUUGAUAUAUUCUUUUCUUUUUUUUUUCGGAUAGAUUAGUGCAUAGUUUCCAUGCAGAUAAACACUGCUAUGCAUUUACAUUGUUGGAAAGCAGAGUGAAUUGAGCCCAAGUUGUCACAUUUUUGUAAAUCAUUUUGCCAGCCUGUAAUAGCACCAUGUAAUGGAUUUGCAUUAAACAUUAAAUUGAUUUCAGAAUUGGUGACACAGUAUUCACUACAGUUAAGUGCUAUGGAAUAGCUUCAAUGUUACCUGCUAUAUAUCAAAGCAAUUUUCAUCCCACUGCUUUUUUAUUGGAAAAAAUAAAAGGAAAAUGUACUCGAUACUAAUUAGACUA